AACAAUAGAGGAUGCUGUACGAAGGGAGGUUGCAGAAGAAACUGCUGUCAAGGUUGGGAAUGUUCAAUAUGUUUCCAGUCAACCCUGGCCAAUGCCUUCAUCUCUAAUGAUUGGUUGCCAAGCUGUUGCUGUAACAACUGAAAUCAUUGUGGAUGAAGAGGAGAUUGUAGAUGCCCGCUGGUUCAGUUGGCAGCAGAUUACUGAAACCCUGACACGUGAGAAUCAUCCAAUUAGCAUUCCACCACAGCAAACUAUCGCACAUAGACUAAUUAAAAAGUGGCUUAAAAAGAAUGCACACCUCUGAAUGCAUUUUUCUGAAGAACGGUCUAGACCCAAAACGUCAGCUUUUCUGCUCCUCUGAUGCUGCUUGGCUGCUGUGUUCAUCCAGCUCUACACCUUGUUAUCUCAGAUUCUCCAGCAUCGGCAUUUCCCACUAUCUCUGAAUGCACUGCUGUGCAUACAACAUCGUAUUGACCAGUUAAACCAGUGGAUUUGUCAAUCUUUGUGAGAAGACAGCAGUAAUCACAACAAAAAGAGCAUUAGGUGCAGUAACCUUCCACUUAUUACACUGCUGUAAAUUCUCAUAAACAAUUAUCUGGAAUAUUUGAUUAACUGGUCUCAUAGGUGCCAGUUAAUAAAAAAGUUUGCUGUACUUACUUUAUUCCAGAUAAUCAAUAGGUACACAUAACCGCAGUAAACCACAACCAAACAAAACUUUGAGACAUAAAUAUCCCUCAAAAAAUCCAUGUUAAAACAUCGACACACCUCCUAAAAUAAGUGUAAAAAUACACAGUAAGUAAUAGAAAUGUAAUGCAGUGGGUACAUAUGUCACUGGUAUAUUUGAUUUACAGCAUAAAUACUCUGACCUUGUGGUUUUUGAGGUGUAUAAUUUUUGCCAAUUUACCAAGAGUGCCAGUUGAUAUGGUGCUGGUUAAAACAAAGUUUGCUGUAUUACAUUUACACAUAAGCUAGUAACAUUAAUUUGAAGCAAUUUUGAUUUGUUUAUGGUACAUGGAUAUAUUUUCAAAAUAAUUCAAAUUGAUUUACUACUUCAAAUUAUAUGUGGAUGAUUUCCUCUGUUCUGAAGUCAGAGCAACUUCUCAAGCCUCACUCGAAGUAUAUGAUACUUUUCCCAGACAUCUGGACGUGUUUCUUUACAGUUUUCAGAGCCUUACACAUAUUCCAUUUUCAGAAUUGUUUUGCUUCAAAUACUGGACUAUAACAAAACAGUUUAAAGCCGCCAAUCUCUUACAAGUUAGAAACAUAGGCAAUAAAUUUAAUCUUACCCAUGCAGAGAAAAAUACAGUAAGAAAUCUGUUUGUACCAAUGAAACCUGUCAGGAGUAAUUUUCACUUGUUUCUCCAGGCAAAUAGCAGUUAAUUAACAUCAUAGGGAGAAAAGUCAGGAGAAGUGUGAAAAAGGACUGCUAAGUUGUUGUUCCUGAAGAUUCACCUGACAGCUGUAAUGAACAUAAUUUUGUACUUUAUGGAGUAGAAGCUGAUUCUUUGAAAUCAUCGCAAAAACAAAUAUCCUCUUCAUGGUGCAUGGCUAGAAAUGCCACAUGGAUAAUACAUCCCAGUCUUUUCAUGAGAUCUUCAGACUCCAGCCAAUUUAGUUUACUCCAUAUUAUUGUCAAGAAACAGCUGAGGGAUGAGGUAGAGCAAAGGCAAUGUGCAUAACAUCAUACUGAUUUUAAUGCUGAAGACCUGUCCUCUAGAACUAGCUGUACACCUAGCCAAGCUGUUCCAGUGCAGCCACAAUACUGGCUUCUACCUGAGAAAAUGGAAGAUUGAACAGGAGUUCCCUUCUGGAAAAAGCAUGAUAAAUCCAAUCUAAUCAGUUACCACCUUCCCACUAAUCACAGUGGUCGCUGAGUUAAUAGAAGAUGUCACUAGUGCUGCUUGAUAAGACUAUUAGUUUUCAAAUAACCUGUUCCCUGAUACUCAACAAUGAAACUGCAUUUUCAAAGAAGUUCUUGAAUUCCCACAUUGAUAUUUUUUCAUUGUUACUAUUUUCUUUAUACAAUUGUUGACUGUCCUAAAAAAAAUCAUUAAUCUGUCUUUGAUCAAUGCCUCAAUGUUAAUUAGCUGUAUAUUUCUUAAUAACACAUUUAAAUUACAAUUCUUUAUGACAUUCUUUUAAUAUUUUAUAAAUCUUAUUCAGUAACAUAAAAUAACUUUUAAAUCUCUGAUAAAAACUGAAAGAUAUAAAUUAUAAUUGGUCAAAAUUGAUUACUAGUUAGAAUGUUCUGUCCAUUAUCAUCUCCAUGCAGAUAUACCCAUGGUAAAAUGAAAAAUGAAUACUUGCUUUUAACCAGUUGUAACAGGCUAGAGUUAACAGAAUCAGGUGAUCUUGCUCCUUUUUUUGCAAGUCGACAUGAAACUGCUCAAGACUUGAAGUAGCCAGAUUGUCUGGUCAGAACAUGAAAAGGUAAACAACCUUUGGAAUAUUCAUUUGAGAAGAGGUUAAAAAGUAACAGGAUUACAUUUACGGACUUAACAGCUGUUGUCCUGUCAGUGUUUAGAAAAAACUGUUGCACAUUUACCACUGGCUUGUUGGCUCCAGAAUGGGUGUGACGAAAAAUCACAAGGCCAAAAUUAAAUCUCAUUGUGUGUCAACACUGAUGUUGUCAGGGGCCACUUGUGUGAAUAAUAAGAACAUGAAAUACUGUGGCCAGCUAACAGAAAGCAGCUUGUGAUGAAAAACAUUUAUUAACUCUUGAGAGAAGCCUCAGGUCAGUCAGUCUGAAAAAAUAAAGAAACUAAAGAGGGUAGAGAUCUCACAAAACAAAGGCAGAUUCCCACCUAGAAACUACUAACAGGCAGGAUGCUUUGACCUUUAACUUGAAGAACUUAAAUAAAGGAGCUCUUCAACAACUUCGGCGGGAGCAAAGCCAGAAAGAUACUAUUUCAAGGAGUAAACCACUAUGAAUUUAUCACCAGGAAAUUCCAACCUCCAUUUUCUUGGUGAUAUCAGACCACAAUGUUUUUAGCUUCUAUUCCACAACACAAGAGUAAUAGAGACUUCUUGGACAUUUCUAAAAGUGUAAGUGCAUGCUACCUCUUUUGUAACCACCUCUUACACCAUGUGUGUGUCUAAGUAAAUGGAUGUUACCCCUAUUGCAUUUGGGUGUUGAGAAAUAAAUAUUCAUCUUUUCAACCCUA
This is a long non-coding RNA of Rhincodon typus (whale shark), 3164 nucleotides long. RefSeq lists it as uncharacterized. The record is from RefSeq and is a predicted model, not a curated record. The transcript is spliced from 2 exons. NCBI's taxonomy places the organism in Eukaryota, Metazoa, Chordata, Chondrichthyes, Orectolobiformes, Rhincodontidae.